This is a long non-coding RNA of Zingiber officinale, 2060 nucleotides long. RefSeq lists it as uncharacterized. The record is from RefSeq and is a predicted model, not a curated record. NCBI's taxonomy places the organism in Eukaryota, Viridiplantae, Streptophyta, Magnoliopsida, Zingiberales, Zingiberaceae. The transcript has 5 exons.
AAUUGAAUUUUUAAAACGGAGAUCGCGAAUUUAAUUUUUCAGAAUAUAUUUCAGUCUCUGAGGACUGAGGGUGCUGCAAGAGUUUAACUCUACUCCUCCUGUCGACUCCGCAGCUAGCGUGAAGCUUUGGCCUCUCCUUAAUCCACAUUUUGCAGGACGGAAACCAAGGAAACAAGAACAAAUACAGUGCUCAAGCCCACAGCGAAAUUGCUCUCUCGGCCCACUGCUUCUCUCCUCCUGUCAAAUCUGCCAGCCACAAAUAGUGUUCGUCGAGAGAUUGUUUGACGGGCAGAUCGCUGAGAUUGUGUACGAAGGCGACCACAACCACCCGAAGCCUCAGCCUCCGAAGCGACGACUCUCGUCGGGUUCGCAGGAGCAGGCCUUCGUAGCCGACCAGAAUAGCAGAUCAGAGAGGCAAUCUGCAGUCAUGGAGUACUACUGAUUCGCUGCUGCUAGAGGUAAACCCCAAGGGAUUGCCCUCCUGCAGGAUUCCAAUGCCUUCUGUACACUCCGCAGUCCGCGCUGUCUACUCACGUUAUAGAUCCAACCGAAAAUGAGUUGUGAGGAAAUAUUCAAUUCUCAUCACUGAGGACAUAGAAAAACACCUCCUUAAUUACCAAUAACUUUGAGUUCAGUAAUCAAGAUCGGACUAAUUCAUAUUAGACGAAAAACCUUCUCUUCCUCUAUUCAAGCAGGGAACUCCAAAUCUCAGUUCAUCCUCCAUUCCAACAAGCUGUGGGCUCAAAUCUCAAUAAACAGAGCAACGACGCAGAGAGACGCCGUUCGACAGACCCCAAUAAUCCAGAGCUUAUUCUCCCUCUCUCGAAGAAAAUUGUAAGAGCAGUUUUUUUUUUUCAUUUAUAUUAUUUUGUUGUUUCUGAUUUUAUGUGCAUUUUUUCAUAUACAAAAUAAAAUGUCAUAGAAACAACAGUCAAAUUAUUUGCAGAUGGCUCCGGCAAAUGGUUUAAGAAAAGCGUAGAUCAUGGCAUACAAUCGCACAAGGUGUAUAUAAUGGGGGCAUUUCAAACACUAAAUUCUACCUCUCUUAUUAGAUUGUAUAUGAGGAGAAUGAUAGUCGAGAUGAGGAAUUGUGCUCCCUAUGCCGUCGUUGGCUGCCUUCUUCCUCUUCUAUCUACUCGCGCUGGAUCUGCCUUGUCAAUAUCGCAAUCAAAAUCUCGACGGCGUGGCCAUGUUCAUGAUUUUAGGUUGGAAAAGCUUGUUACAGAUAACAAAAUGUCCAUGCCGACACGAGUAGUAGGGACUUUUGGAUAUCUUGCUCCUGAAUACGCAACCACCGGAAAAGUAUCCACGAAGGUUGAUGUCUACACAUUCGGUGUUAUAUUAAUGGAGAUAAUUAUCGGAAGAAAAGUACUAGAUGAGUCAUUCCUUCCUGAUGAUAAUCUUGUAUCAGUAUUUCGCAGAGAGUUUACUCAAGAGAAAAAUAAAAUUUUAAAUUCCAUGACGGAGUGAGUCCUUGAACUUGACGAUGAGACUCAGAAGAGUCUAGUGGAAGUUGCAGACUUGGCUUGGCACUGCACAUGCAGUGAACCCUAUCAAAGGUCUUAUAUGAGCCACAUAGUCAAUAAACUUGCUCCUUUAGUAGAGGUAUGCCGAUCUAAGACAACCUGUGAUGUGGACAAUGACGAUGGCUCAAUUUAUAGUCUGAUCGAAAUACUCGAGAGAUGAUAACAUGAUACCACUAUGACCAGGUGAUUUGGUUGUUAUUGAUGUUGAAAGAAGUUUUGGGAUAAAAUGCACCUUUUUUUGACAAAAAUACAUAGCGGAAGCGAAACCUUUUUUACAAGGAGAAUGAUGAUCAAGACGAGGAAUUGCACUCCUUAUGCUGCCGUCGGCCACCUUCUUCCUCUUUUGUCUACUUGCAUUGGAUCUGCCCUGUCAAAAUCUCAAUGGCGCAGCCAUGCCCGAACUGGCACGGUCACUCUUCGAGGUUCCUUCCACCUGGGACGACGUUAUUUGCUCCGGACAAAUGAAAUGUAUAUGAGAAAUUAUCUAAGUUUCAUAUAUAGUCAAAUACUCUGAGGGAUCAUUAAUAUGAGCAA